This is a non-coding RNA of Acanthoscelides obtectus, 75 nucleotides long. The record is from the annotation of a GenBank genome assembly. NCBI's taxonomy places the organism in Eukaryota, Metazoa, Arthropoda, Insecta, Coleoptera, Chrysomelidae.
GCUUCGAUAGCUCGGUGGUUUGCGCGUCGAGCUGGUAACCCGGGGCUCGCGGGUUCGAAUCUCCGACUCGGAAGU